AGAGUUUGAUCCUGGCUCAGGACGAACGCUGGCGGCGUGCCUAAUACAUGCAAGUCGAACGGUCUUUUCUAUGGAAGCUUGCUUCCACUGAGAAGAUAGUGGCGGACGGGUGAGUAACACGUGGGUAACCUGUCCAUAAGAGGGGGAUAACAUCCGGAAACGGGUGCUAAUACCGCAUAGUUUUCUUGAUCGCAUGAUUGAGAAAGGAAAGACGGCCUUUGUGCUGUCGCUUAUGGAUGGACCCGCGGCGUAUUAGUUAGUUGGUGAGGUAAUGGCUCACCAAGACGAUGAUACGUAGCCGACCUGAGAGGGUGAUCGGCCACAUUGGGACUGAGACACGGCCCAAACUCCUACGGGAGGCAGCAGUAGGGAAUCUUCCGCAAUGGACGAAAGUCUGACGGAGCAACGCCGCGUGAGUGAAGAAGGUUUUCGGAUCGUAAAACUCUGUUGUCAGAGAAGAACAAGUUGGAGAGUAACUGCUCCAGCCUUGACGGUAUCUGACCAGAAAGCCACGGCUAACUACGUGCCAGCAGCCGCGGUAAUACGUAGGUGGCAAGCGUUGUCCGGAUUUAUUGNNNNUAAAGCNAGCGCAGGCGGUUCCUUAAGUCUGAUGUNAAANCCCACGGCUCAACCGUG
Molecule: ribosomal RNA, 636 nt
Filed under: uncultured bacterium
Lineage: Bacteria
Description: bacterial SSU rRNA
Rfam family: Bacterial small subunit ribosomal RNA
Source: RNAcentral